Molecule: transfer RNA, 68 nt
Filed under: Marmota monax (woodchuck)
Lineage: Eukaryota; Metazoa; Chordata; Mammalia; Rodentia; Sciuridae
Description: tRNA.Ala
Source: RNAcentral
GCUGGGGCUCAGUGGUAAAGCACCUGCCUGGCCUGUGUGAGGACCUGGGUUCGAUUCUCAGCACCGCA